GCUCUCGCCCGAACUAAAUUGCCAAAACCCUAGCCUUUUCCCCAAUUCAACAGCAAGACGGCCGUCGGUCGUCCUUCGCAGGCGCGGAUAGUUGGAGCCUAUUGAAAUCUGCAGUGUCAAUUGCUUGCAAUCACAUCUUUUGCAACUCAUGCAUUAUGGAGUCAAUGAAAUCUGUGUUUAAUUGCCCAGUCUGUAAAGUUCCAUACCACCGAAGAGAAAUUCGUGCUUCUCCUCACAUGAACAAUUUGAUAAGCAUUUACAAAAGCAUGGAAGUUGCAUCUGGGACCAAUAUCUUAUCAAUUCAAACAGACACCUAGUCAAGUUGAAGGUGACAAUCUUUUCUGCUCCAUUGCUUUUCAACACAACUAUAGCAACCACAAAAUCAGUUGAUACAGAUCAUUAGUUUCUUGUGUCAUGAAGCACGAUGUUGAUAGUUAGC
This is a long non-coding RNA of Zingiber officinale, 439 nucleotides long. RefSeq lists it as uncharacterized. The record is from RefSeq and is a predicted model, not a curated record. The transcript has 4 exons. Lineage: Eukaryota; Viridiplantae; Streptophyta; Magnoliopsida; Zingiberales; Zingiberaceae.